RNAcentral lists this ribosomal RNA (301 nucleotides) under uncultured bacterium. RNAcentral's name for it is "partial 16S ribosomal RNA". It matches the Rfam family "Bacterial small subunit ribosomal RNA", at positions 509 to 807 of the family's 1533-position model. The record is from RNAcentral.
CAGUCGCUGCGGGAAUACGAAGGGUGCAAGCGUUACUCGGAAUUACUGGGCGUAAAGCGUGCGUAGGUGGUGGUUUAAGUCCGUUGUGAAAGCCCUGGGCUCAACCUGGGAAUUGCAGUGGAUACUGGGUCACUAGAGUGUGGUAGAGGAUAGUGGAAUUUCCGGUGUAGCAGUGAAAUGCGUAGAGAUCGGAAGGAACAUCUGUGGCGAAGGCGACUAUCUGGGCCAACACUGACACUGAGGCACGAAAGCGUGGGGAGCAAACAGGAUUAGAUACCCCCGUAGUCCCUGUCUCUUAUAC